UUCCUGGAGGACUAGUGGUUAUGCCUCGGCACUCUCAUCGCCACAGUCCGGGUUUGAGUCCCGGCCAGGGUU
Molecule: transfer RNA, 72 nt
Filed under: Pangasianodon gigas (Mekong giant catfish)
Lineage: Eukaryota; Metazoa; Chordata; Actinopteri; Siluriformes; Pangasiidae
Description: tRNA-Glu
Source: RNAcentral